This 492-nucleotide ribosomal RNA is filed under the name uncultured bacterium. Its description in RNAcentral is "partial 16S ribosomal RNA". It matches the Rfam family "Bacterial small subunit ribosomal RNA", at positions 29 to 507 of the family's 1533-position model. The record is from RNAcentral.
AGUGAACGCUGGCGGUAGGCCUAACACAUGCAAGUCGAACGGCAGCACAGUAAGAGCUUGCUCUUACGGGUGGCGAGUGGCGGACGGGUGAGGAAUACAUCGGAAUCUACUUUUUCGUGGGGGAUAACGUAGGGAAACUUACGCUAAUACCGCAUACGACCUACGGGUGAAAGCAGGGGAUCUUCGGACCUUGCGCGAUUGAAUGAGCCGAUGUCGGAUUAGCUAGUUGGCGGGGUAAAGGCCCACCAAGGCGACGAUCCGUAGCUGGUCUGAGAGGAUGGUCGGCCACACUGGAACUGAGACACGGUCCAGACUCCUACGGGAGGCAGCAGUGGGGAAUAUUGGACAAUGGGCGCAAGCCUGAUCCAGCUAUACCGCGUGGGUGAAGAAGGCCUUCGGGUUGUAAAGCCCUUUUGUUGGGAAAGAAAAGCAGCAGGUUAAUACCCCGCUGUUCUGACGGUACCCAAAGAAUAAGCACCGGCUAACUUCGUG